This 72-nucleotide transfer RNA is filed under the name Myotis brandtii (Brandt's bat). It matches the Rfam family "tRNA". From Rfam's summary of the family: Transfer RNA (tRNA) molecules are approximately 80 nucleotides in length. Lineage: Eukaryota; Metazoa; Chordata; Mammalia; Chiroptera; Vespertilionidae. The record is from Rfam by way of RNAcentral.
GGCUGGGUAGCUCAGUUGGUUAGAGCAUUGUGCCAAUAUGCCAAGGUUGCGGGUUCAAUCCCUGCCUGGUCA